This is a non-coding RNA of Arachis ipaensis, 152 nucleotides long. NCBI's taxonomy places the organism in Eukaryota, Viridiplantae, Streptophyta, Magnoliopsida, Fabales, Fabaceae. The record is from RefSeq and is a predicted model, not a curated record.
UUUCUUGCAGAACAGGAUCAGUUACUAUUUCAAAAAUUGCACCAACCGGAGAAGAUGAUGAUGAGUCUGGUGUGGAUUCAGAUUAAGCAUGGUGGCUGUUUGGUUUUUAUUUGUUUUAAAGUGACUGUUUCAGUUUAAAGUGUGUUUAUUUU